ACAGAGGGUGCAAGCGUUGUUCGGAAUCACUGGGCGUAAAGCGCGCGCAGGCGGAAGUGCAAGUCUGGAGUGAAAUCUCGCCGCUCAACGGCGAGGCUGCUUUGGAAACUGCACCUCUAGGGAUUGGUAGAGGCUGGUAGAAUUGCAGGUGUAGCGGUGGAAUGCGUAGAGAUCUGCAAGAAUACCCGUGGCGAAGGCGGCCAGCUGGGCCAAAUCCGACGCUGAGGCGCGAAGGCCAGGGGAGCAAACGGGA
RNAcentral lists this ribosomal RNA (253 nucleotides) under uncultured prokaryote. Its description in RNAcentral is "partial 16S ribosomal RNA". It matches the Rfam family "Bacterial small subunit ribosomal RNA", at positions 525 to 777 of the family's 1533-position model. The record is from RNAcentral.